This is a non-coding RNA of Schistosoma haematobium, 46 nucleotides long. The record is from Rfam. NCBI's taxonomy places the organism in Eukaryota, Metazoa, Platyhelminthes, Trematoda, Strigeidida, Schistosomatidae.
AUUCAGUUGAUGAGUCCCAAUAUAGAACGAAACGCUUGUCCUAGAU